Molecule: ribosomal RNA, 253 nt
Filed under: uncultured Sphingomonas sp.
Lineage: Bacteria; Pseudomonadati; Pseudomonadota; Alphaproteobacteria; Sphingomonadales; Sphingomonadaceae
Description: partial 16S ribosomal RNA
Rfam family: Bacterial small subunit ribosomal RNA
Source: RNAcentral
UACGGAGGGAGCUAGCGUUAUUCGGAAUUACUGGGCGUAAAGCGCACGUAGGCGGCUUUGUAAGUAAGAGGUGAAAGCCCAGAGCUCAACUCUGGAAUUGCCUUUUAGACUGCAUCGCUUGAAUCAUGGAGAGGUCAGUGGAAUUCCGAGUGUAGAGGUGAAAUUCGUAGAUAUUCGGAAGAACACCAGUGGCGAAGGCGGCUGACUGGACAUGUAUUGACGCUGAGGGGCGAAAGCGUGGGGAGCAAACAGG